GUCUAAGUAUAAGCAAUCUAUACUGUGAAACUGCGAAUGGCUCAUUAAAUCAGUUAUCGUUUAUUUGAUAGUACCUUACUACAUGGAUAACCGUGGUAAUUCUAGAGCUAAUACAUGCUAAAAACCUCGACUUCGGAAGGGGUGUAUUUAUUAGAUAAAAAACCAAUGCCCUUCGGGGCUCCUUGGUGAUUCAUAAUAACUCAACGAAUCGCAUGGCCUUGCGCCGGCGAUGGUUCAUUCAAAUUUCUGCCCUAUCAACUUUCGAUGGUAGGAUAGUGGCCUACCAUGGUAUCGACGGGUAACGGGGAAUUAGGGUUCUAUUCCGGAGAGGGAGCCUGAGAAACGGCUACCACAUCCAAGGAAGGCAGCAGGCGCGCAAAUUACCCAAUCCCAAUACGGGGAGGUAGUGACAAUAAAUACUGAUACAGGGCUCUUUUGGGUCUUGUAAUUGGAAUGAGUACAAUUUAAAUCCCUUAACGAGGAACAAUUGGAGGGCAGCU
Molecule: ribosomal RNA, 500 nt
Filed under: fungal sp. TRN214
Lineage: Eukaryota; Fungi
Description: SSU rRNA
Rfam family: Eukaryotic small subunit ribosomal RNA
Source: RNAcentral